UUACGCGAAGACCUUACCUACCCUUGACAUACAGAGAACUUUCCAGAGAUGGAUUGGUGCCUCCGGGAACUCUGAGACAGGUGCUGCAUGGCUGUCGUCAGCUCGUGUUGUGAAAUGUUGGGUUAAGUCCCGCAACGAGCGCAACCCCUGUCCCAUGUUGCCAGCGUGAAAGACGGGGACUCAUGGGAUACUGCCGGUGACAAAUCGGAGGAAGGUGGGGAUGACGUCAAGUCAUCAUGCCCCUUAUGUCUUGGGCUACAAACGUGCUACAUUGGCCGGUACAAAGGGCUGCGAACCCGCGAGGGGGAGCGAAUCUCAAAAAACCGGUCCCGGUUCGGAUUGGAGGCUGAAACUCGACUCCAUGAAGUCGGAAUCGCUAGUAAUCGUGGAUCAGAAUGCCACGGUGAAUACGUUCCCGGGUCUUGUA
This 427-nucleotide ribosomal RNA is filed under the name uncultured bacterium. RNAcentral describes it as "bacterial SSU rRNA". It matches the Rfam family "Bacterial small subunit ribosomal RNA", at positions 957 to 1385 of the family's 1533-position model. The record is from RNAcentral.